UACGUAGGGGCCUAGCGUUGUCCGGAAUUAUUGGGCGUAAAGAGCUCGUAGGCGGUUCGGCAAGUCGGAUGUGAAAUCUCCACGCUUAACGUGGAGGGGCCAUUCGAAACUGCUGUGACUCGAGUCCGGUAGGGGAGUGUGGAAUUCCCGGUGUAGCGGUGAAAUGCGCAGAUAUUCGGAAGAACACCAGUGGCGAAGGCGGAGCUGACUGGACAUGGUAUUGACGCUGAGGUGCGAAAGCGUGGGGAGCAAACAGGGAUUAAGAA
This 266-nucleotide ribosomal RNA is filed under the name uncultured bacterium. RNAcentral's name for it is "partial 16S ribosomal RNA". It matches the Rfam family "Bacterial small subunit ribosomal RNA", at positions 524 to 784 of the family's 1533-position model. The record is from RNAcentral.